RNAcentral lists this long non-coding RNA (549 nucleotides) under Homo sapiens (human). RNAcentral describes it as "non-protein coding lnc-SIAH1-4:2". Lineage: Eukaryota; Metazoa; Chordata; Mammalia; Primates; Hominidae. The record is from RNAcentral.
UUAUCUUUAACUCCUGCCCGGAUGGUCUUUGGAGAAAGAAUUGCUUCUCAUGAUGACAGGUUUCUACUACACUUAGCGGACAAAACUGGUGGCAUAAUUGUGACAAAUGAUAAUUUCAGAGAAUUUGUGAAUGAGUCAGUCUCUUGGAGAGAAAUUAUUACAAAAAGAGAUAUGCAGCCCCUACUCAGUGCCCUGCCAAAUGUGGGCAUGUUUGACCCCAGCUUCAGAGUCCCUGGCACCCAGGCAGCCAGCACCAGCCACCAGCCUCCGACCCGGAUUCAGGGAGCCCCUUCAAGCCACUGGCUCCCUCAGCAGCCCCACUUCCCACUGCUGCCAGCCCUCCCCAGUCUCCAGCAGAACCUGCCCAUGCCAGCUCAGAGAUCUUCUGCAGAAACCAACGAGCUGAGGGAAGCCCUUCUGAAGAUCUUCCCUGACUCAGAGCAAAGACUGAAAAUAGACCAGAUCUUGGUGGCCCACCCAUACAUGAAAGAUCUAAAUGCGCUUUCUGCCAUGGUGUUGGAUUGAAGAUUGUGCUGAGCGCUGAGCUUG